Molecule: small nucleolar RNA, 107 nt
Organism: Lactuca sativa (garden lettuce)
Lineage: Eukaryota; Viridiplantae; Streptophyta; Magnoliopsida; Asterales; Asteraceae
Source: RefSeq, a predicted model, not a curated record
AGGUCGUGUUGAGGGAAAUUCCUUAGCAUUCCCUUACACCUCUCCCAAGCUUCGUAUAAAGAUUCGCCAUCGUUUUAUUGAAAGUUUGUUAUUUUCUUCUUGAGUUU